GACGAACGCUGGCGGCGUGCUUAACACAUGCAAGUCGAACGGAAAGGCCCUGCUUUUGUGGGGUGCUCGAGUGGCGAACGGGUGAGUAACACGUGAGUAACCUGCCCUUGACUUUGGGAUAACUUCAGGAAACUGGGGCUAAUACCGGAUAGGAGCUCCUGCUGCAUGGUGGGGGUUGGAAAGUUUCGGCGGUUGGGGAUGGACUCGCGGCUUAUCAGCUUGUUGGUGGGGUAGUGGCUUACCAAGGCUUUGACGGGUAGCCGGCCUGAGAGGGUGACCGGCCACAUUGGGACUGAGAGACGGCCCAGAGGCCUACGGGAGGCAGGAGUGGGGAAUAUUGCACAAUGGGCGGAGGGCUGAUGGAGCAACGCCGCGUGCGGGAUGACGGCCUUCGGGUUGUAAACCGCUUUCGCCUGUGACGAAGCGUGAGUGACGGUAAUGGGUAAAGAAGCACCGGCUAACUACGU
This 467-nucleotide ribosomal RNA is filed under the name uncultured bacterium. RNAcentral's name for it is "partial 16S ribosomal RNA". It matches the Rfam family "Bacterial small subunit ribosomal RNA", at positions 28 to 506 of the family's 1533-position model. The record is from RNAcentral.